AUUGAACGCUGGCGGCAGGCCUAACACAUGCAAGUCGAGCGGAUGAAGGGAGCCUGCUCCUGGAUUCAGCGGCGGACGGGUGAGUAAUGCCUAGGAAUCUGCCUGGUAGUGGGGGAUAACGUCCGGAAACGGGCGCUAAUACCGCAUACGUCCUGAGGGAGAAAGUGGGGGAUCUUCGUACCUCACGCUAUCAGAUGAGCCUAGGUCGGAUUAGCUAGUUGGUGGGGUAAGGGCCUACCAAGGCGACGAUCCGUAACUGGUCUGAGAGGAUGAUCAGUCACACUGGAACUGAGACACGGUCCAGGCUCCUACGGGAGGCAGCAGUGGGGAAUAUUGGACAAUGGGCGAAAGCCUGAUCCAGCCAUGCCGCGUGUGUGAAGAAGGUCUUCGGAUUGUAAAGCACUUUAAGUUGGGAGGAAGGGCAGUAAGUUAAUACCUUGCUGUUUUGACGUUACCAACAGAAUAAGCACCGGCUAACUUCGUG
Molecule: ribosomal RNA, 484 nt
Filed under: uncultured bacterium
Lineage: Bacteria
Description: partial 16S ribosomal RNA
Rfam family: Bacterial small subunit ribosomal RNA
Source: RNAcentral